GGAAGGAUCUUAUCGAGUUAGACCG
Molecule: ribosomal RNA, 25 nt
Filed under: Boletus edulis
Lineage: Eukaryota; Fungi; Basidiomycota; Agaricomycetes; Boletales; Boletaceae
Description: partial 18S ribosomal RNA
Source: RNAcentral